UGGGUUUGACAUGGAUCGGGAGUGCUCAGAGAUGGGUGUGCCUCUUUUGGGGUCGGUUCACAGGUGGUGCAUGGCUGUCGUCAGCUCGUGUCGUGAGAUGUUGGGUUAAGUCCCGCAACGAGCGCAACCCUUGUUCACUGUUGCCAGCACGUUAUGGUGGGGACUCAGUGGAGACCGCCGGGGUCAACUCGGAGGAAGGUGGGGAUGACGUCAAGUCAUCAUGCCCCUUAUGUCCAGGGCUUCACGCAUGCUACAAUGGCUGGUACAGAGAGUGGCGAGCCUGUGAGGGUGAGCGAAUCUCGGAAAGCCGGUCUCAGUUCGGAUUGGGGUCUGCAACUCGACCUCAUGAAGUCGGAGUCGCUAGUAAUCGCAGAUCAGCAACGCUGCGGUGAAUACGGUCCCGGGGC
Molecule: ribosomal RNA, 407 nt
Filed under: uncultured Cutibacterium sp.
Lineage: Bacteria; Bacillati; Actinomycetota; Actinomycetes; Propionibacteriales; Propionibacteriaceae
Description: bacterial SSU rRNA
Rfam family: Bacterial small subunit ribosomal RNA
Source: RNAcentral